Molecule: ribosomal RNA, 1365 nt
Filed under: uncultured bacterium
Lineage: Bacteria
Description: bacterial SSU rRNA
Rfam family: Bacterial small subunit ribosomal RNA
Source: RNAcentral
GACGAACGCUGGCGGCGCGCCUAACACAUGCAAGUCGAACGAGAGAGAGGAAGCUUGCUUCCUCAAUCGAGUGGCGAACGGGUGAGUAACGCGUGAGGAACCUGCCUCAAAGAGGGGGACAACAGUUGGAAACGACUGCUAAUACCGCAUAAGCCCACGGGUCGGCAUCGACCAGAGGGAAAAGGAGCAAUCCGCUUUGAGAUGGCCUCGCGUCCGAUUAGCUGGUUGGUGAGGUAACGGCUCACCAAAGCAACGAUCAGUAGCUGGUCUGAGAGGACGACCAGCCACACUGGGACUGAGACACGGCCCAGACUCCUACGGGAGGCAGCAGUGGGGAAUUUUGGACAAUGGGCGCAAGCCUGAUCCAGCUAUUCCGCGUGUGGGAUGAAGGCCCUCGGGUUGUAAACCACUUUUGUAGAGAACGAAAAGACAUCUUCGAAUAAAGGAUGUUGCUGACGGUACUCUAAGAAUAAGCACCGGCUAACUACGUGCCAGCAGCCGCGGUAAUACGUAGGGUGCGAGCGUUAAUCGGAAUUACUGGGCGUAAAGGGUGCGCAGGCGGUUGAGUAAGACAGAUGUGAAAUCCCCGAGCUUAACUCGGGAAUGGCAUAUGUGACUGCUCGACUAGAGUGUGUCAGAGGGAGGUGGAAUUCCACGUGUAGCAGUGAAAUGCGUAGAUAUGUGGAAGAACACCGAUGGCGAAGGCAGCCUCCUGGGACAUAACUGACGCUCAGGCACGAAAGCGUGGGGAGCAAACAAAGAUUAGAUACCCUGGUAGUCCACGCCCUAAACGAUGUUAACUAGUUGUUGGGAUGUAACAAUCUCAGUAACGCAGCCAACGCGAGAAGUUAACCGCCUGGGAAGUACGGUCGCAAGACUAAAACUCAAAGGAAUAGACGGGGACCCGCACAAGCGGUGGAUGAUGUGGAUUAAUUCGAUGCAACGCGAAAAACCUUACCUACCCCCGACAUGUCAGGAAGCUCUUGUAAUGAGAGCGUGCCCGCAAGGGAGCCUGAACACAGGUGCUGCAUGGCUGUCGUCAGCUCGUGUCGUGAGAUGUUGGGUUAAGUCCCGCAACGAGCGCAACCCUUGUCACUAGUUGCUACGAAAGGGCACUCUAGUGAGACUGCCGGUGACAAACCGGAGGAAGGUGGGGAGGACGUCAAGUCCUCAUGGCCCUUAUGGGUAGGGCUUCACACGUCAUACAAUGGUCGGAACAGAGGGCAGCGAAGCCGUGAGGCGGAGCCAAUCCCAGAAAACCGAUCGUAGUCCGGAUUGCAGUCUGCAACUCGACUGCAUGAAGUCGGAAUCGCUAGUAAUCGCGGAUCAGCAUGCCGCGGUGAAUAAAAUCCCGGGUCUUGCACA